Sinocyclocheilus rhinocerous is the source of this 768-nucleotide long non-coding RNA. RefSeq lists it as uncharacterized. The record is from RefSeq and is a predicted model, not a curated record. NCBI's taxonomy places the organism in Eukaryota, Metazoa, Chordata, Actinopteri, Cypriniformes, Cyprinidae. The transcript is spliced from 2 exons.
GAGAUGCUUUGACUGCUCUCUGGUCUGUUUUCAGAGCGGACAGGAGCUGACGCGAGGAAACCGCCGCCGUUUUUAUCCUUGUUGUUGUUAUUCUGAAAUCAGGCUUUUUAUCCGCUGUUGGAGGGAGUUUUAUCCUGUGGCCGUUGCCGUUAUUUAUUGACGCUGAUAAGAAGAGCGUUUUGACCGUCCUCGUACGGGUGUCAUUCUGCAGAAGACGAGAGAAAGACUAAUAAAGGUCAGAAGCGGCGAUGUUUCUCCUGUCAGUCCAUCAUCAAACACGCUUUGAUUUCGGAUCAGAUUCAUGCCUUUCCUUUUCUCACAGAGCUUUAAAUCACAUCAGACUUCAGCUGUGUGUUUUACAGACGCACCACAGUCACAGUCUGAACUAUUCGAGGGAAGUUUGCCUAAAUAUAGUCUGAAAAUGCAGCAGAUUUAGCCGCCUAGACGCCUCCCAGACCCAUGUUUGUUCUCUGUUGUGUUUGUAAGAUGCGACACAAUCAAGUACAUUAAACCCCAGCAUUAAAAUGUUAAAUGGUGUGUUUUUUUAUACACAGGGCAGCUACAUUAUAUUCAUACAGUAACACUUUCACACACACACUAUAUCUGAUCUGAAUCCGGUGCUAAUACGACAGACGCUGUCUUUAAUGAAUGCAUUAGCCGUAACACGUUCUAGCUCAGACGCCCCUAGGUUUGUGUUAUUAAGCACUUGCAUGUGCGUCCUGUGUGGAUAUUACAGUGAAUAUGCAUUAAACUCCUCUUCAGUACUCA